GCCAGUAUUUAAGGGCUGCCGCUGCCCUCGCCACCACAGUCCUGCCAGGACGGCGACAGUGAAGCACCUGGGUUGAGAGGGAGCAGCAGGUAACUGCGCAACCCCUGCCUCCCCCGGUCCCAGCCCGUGCCUCAGCAGAGCCGGGUGUUGGGGAGGACCCGGGAGUGGGUCUCACUGCGCGUGUCGCCUGCCAACACCUUCCUCCCCCACCAUCCUUACCCAGCCCCAUUCCCACCCAGCACACCUGGGCGAGACAACCCAGGUGCGAAGGACAAGCGAUUAUUACCGAAGAGCGUGCAAACCAGGAAGAGAGCGGCCUACUGGAGAGGAAAACGUGAUCCCAGGGGUAGAUACGUGGCGCUGCGUGGAGAGACAGGUUGACGAGACGAGGCUCUUCUGACCGUCCCAUCUGGCAAAACUUGACGACAGCUUCAGGUCGCUACCAUCUAGACCUCUCGGAGCUCCCUGAACCAUGACUCAGACCCUCGACACAAGGGAAGACCCUCUGAACUUGGGCGGCGGCAGCGGCGGCGGCGGCAGCGGCGGCUGUGGCUGGGCACACUCGGCCUCCUUGAGCUCCUGGUCGUCCUGCCAUCGAAGGCGCCCGGGUGCUCCAGUGUACAAUAGGCCGCACCGCUAUAGCCCCAAGACCGAGUAUGGGCCGCCAAGGAGGCAGCCGAAGCAACAGCACGGCCCGGGCUUUUGGUUCCAACCACCCGUGUGCUUUAACUGGGGGUGCUGGGGAGGGCCCUGGCGCCCACCUCCAAGAUUCCGGAAUUUCCCCUGCCCGGUGCAAGUGUUUCGGGUAUAUGGCCUGCACCCUCUCUGCUUUUGCUGCUGCUCCUGCUGGAGCAGGUCCUGGAACCCUGGCUGGGUGAGGCCCCCAGGCAGGAAGAAGCGCUGGGGCCGCAGAGGCCGCGGCCUGCGCCACCACCCUCGCCGCUCUUCCCCGCGGAGCCCGCCAGCGGAUGUGAGCACGCUGCCGCAGCCGGUCAAGCUGUGUGAGUGGAGAGAGCCUGGCAUGCGAGCGCCGCCCAACACCACCCAAUUCAUCAUGAACCAGAUCUACGAGGACAUGCGGCAGCAGGAGAAGCUGAAGCGGCAGCAGGAGGCGCUGCGGUCGCAGAAAGCCACGGUGAGCCGCGAGGCCUCCCCGGCCAGAUCCUCCGGAAACGACGCGCCCCCUGGCGGCGGCGAGGAAGCCUGGGGACUGCAGGAAACUCUGUAUGGCUUUGUGCAGAAUCCCUCUCUUGCAUUCAGUCCCAACCCAGAGGAAAACCAGUCUCUUGCCCCGCUGCUGGUGGAGGAAGAGGAGGAGAAGAAAAAUGAUGAUGAGGAGGAGUAUGACCAGGAGGUGUGUGAUGCAAAGGAGGCGAGCGAGGAGGAAGAAGAAGAGGUUGAAGAUGAGGAAGAAGAGGUCGAAGAUGAGGAGGAAGAGGUCGAAGAGGCUGAAUAUGUGGAGGAGGGGGAGGAGGAGGAAGAGGAGGAGCUGGAAGAGGAAGAGGAGGUCCUGGAGGAGAACGAGCAGAGAGGGGAAGAAUUUCACUUGCCUCUGGAAAUGCCUUUAUCAAUCUUCGUAGGGGCUGAAGAAAAGAGAGAGAACUUUAUAAGCUGCACUUUUUUAAACCCAGAGCAGAUAAUUCCCAAAGUGCCACAGGAAUCCCUGUUCAUGGCACAGGACUUUAACUGUUAGACAUCAGAAAAGGGAUUGAGAAAAGGGAUGGAACUGAUUUGAGGCUAAACUGGAUUAGCAAUUUAUUAAAAACUGAUUAAAAAUGCUAUGGAUCUUCCUCAGAAGAACAUGAAGUUGCUUCUGUGGAACUGGUUAUCAGCCAUGGCCUCAACAAUCCAUAAUCCAGUCAUGGAGAGGAUUCCCCAUGGUCAGAAGUCAACUUGCACAUCUAGUUAAAGUCCAAGGUAACUGCAAACAAUGGAACAUAGCUUAGGUUUUGAAGCCUCGUUAUUGGAUAUAGUCUUUAUCCUAAGUUCUGAGCAGCCAUAAAAAUAGUUUUCCAGAAUGGAUUUUUUUUAGAUAAAAAGAUUAUCUACCUUUUGGGGGUGGAAUAUCUUAUUUUGUUUUUGAAUUUGUCUUUGUUAUAAAGAGUAAAACAAAGAUGUGUAAGUGUGAGUCUCUGUGAGCUAGUUUCUGAUGCCUAAACAGCAAUUACCUAUAGAGAAUACAUCAUUCAAAAUAAUAGCU
Molecule: RNA transcript, 2200 nt
Organism: Nomascus leucogenys (northern white-cheeked gibbon)
Lineage: Eukaryota; Metazoa; Chordata; Mammalia; Primates; Hylobatidae
Gene: CCER1
Gene name: coiled-coil glutamate rich protein 1
Exons: 2
Source: RefSeq, a predicted model, not a curated record